GGGCCUGUUAGCCCACGAAACCCAAGGAAGAAGACACACAAGCAAACCUCGCUCCCGCAUCGUCUUCUUCCCCUCUUCCUCCUCAUGGCGCCUCCCGCCGCCGGCGACACCCCACCUCCACCCCCUCCUCCGGCGGCCGCAGAGGGCGGCGCCAGCACCGAGGAGGAGUCGCGGUGGCUCGCGGCCCUCUCCGAGCCCGAGCUCGAUUUGCUCAUCAGCCUGAAGAUGCUGGCCGUGAAGCGGGCGGAGACGGCCGGCCGCCCCCACCUCGCCGACGCCUUCGAUCUGCGCACCCUGCGUGCCCUUGGUGUCGUUUUGCUGGAAGAUUUCAAACACCGACUAAGAGAAGAAACCUCACUUGAUGCAACCGGUCUUGAUAGACUUGCGCUAUCAAGGGAUGCUGUUACGGAUGUUAGUGUCGGUAGUAGUAGCAGUGAUUCCGAGGUGUUCAGGCGGCGCAGCAAAGAUCAGCCAAUAAAGCCAAGCGGAGUCAAGAGGAAACGAAAGCAGACGCAUGAUGGGUACGUCAUUUGAGAAUCCGAUCAGUUUUGCCGAAGAAGUUUAGUUAAAUUUAGCUCAUACUGAUUGACUCUACAUGGCGUCAUGGAGAGGCUGUCCAAAGUAACAAGAAAAGAAGAAAAACUAGCGAGAGGAGAUGGCGGCGAUCAUAAACCGAUUGUGACGAUUUUCCUAAAGCUAGCGACCUAGUGCAAGCACCACAAAAUGUCGUCGAGCAAGAUAGAUAUGAUACGGAGGCUUGGAGCUGCUGCUCUUGUAAAUUUUGCUUUUACCUUUCCGACUUUUCUUCGCCUGGAGUAACAAGAGGCGAAGAACUCAACUAGCAGAUAUAUAGAUGCCCCUUAUGUUGGUCAAAGUUUUGUUUUUCGCUGAAUGGAUUUAACCAAGCUCACUGAUGAAAGGAACUAUAAAUGUCA
This is an RNA transcript of Triticum aestivum (bread wheat), 935 nucleotides long. RefSeq lists it as uncharacterized. The record is from RefSeq and is a predicted model, not a curated record. NCBI's taxonomy places the organism in Eukaryota, Viridiplantae, Streptophyta, Magnoliopsida, Poales, Poaceae. The transcript has 4 exons.